AUGUGACGAAGUGGGACUGUUCUUAAUGUUUCCUCUGAAUAGUGUGGGGGUGCCUCAGUUUCCCCUAGGCAGUUCUUAAGUAUCUAGGUGGUGGGGUAAGGGUGUAUGAUCAUUGCAGUGCCCUAGAGGGCAGGUGUGUGCAGGGAUCUGGACACAGAGAAUGGCCGACACCCUGUUUCCUGGCAACUGAUGGCCUGGGCCCUUCCCCCCCCUGCAAGGUGAGAGCUGAAGGGUUGGAGAACAAAGGAAUCAGGUGACCUCCUGGCCCGGGAAAGGAACAAAGCCCAGAGGAGGAGGGGCUGGAGGGGGGUUUUUCAGUUUGGGGCUGGCUGGGACAUGGAGUGAAGUGCAGACGUGGUUGUCUGGCUCACUGCCCCCCAGAAUGGACCCAGCUGAGGGGUCCCGUUCUCUGCACCUGCAAGCUCUGUUUUAGACCAUGUUCCUGUCGUCUAAUAAACCUUCUGUUUUA
Molecule: non-coding RNA, 469 nt
Organism: Caretta caretta (loggerhead turtle)
Lineage: Eukaryota; Metazoa; Chordata; Testudines; Cheloniidae
Source: RefSeq, a predicted model, not a curated record